UACGUAGGGGGCAAGCGUUAUCCGGAUUUACUGGGUGUAAAGGGGGCGCAGACGGCAGCGCAAGCCAGGAGUGAAAGCCCGGGGCCCAACCCCGGGACUGCUCUUGGAACUGCGCGGCUGGAGUGCAGGAGGGGCAGGCGGAAUUCCUGGUGUAGCGGUGAAAUGCGUAGAUAUCAGGAGGAACACCGGUGGCGAAGGCGGCCUGCUGGACUGCGACUGACGUUGAGGCCCGAAAGCGUGGGGAGCAGACGGG
RNAcentral lists this ribosomal RNA (253 nucleotides) under uncultured bacterium. Its description in RNAcentral is "partial 16S ribosomal RNA". It matches the Rfam family "Bacterial small subunit ribosomal RNA", at positions 524 to 776 of the family's 1533-position model. The record is from RNAcentral.